CAAAACUUUUAUACUAAUUUGACUAUGUCAUUUUUUUUCUAUUGAAAUUGAUAAUAAAAUUUGAGGGGCUUUUAAUUUGUAUGUCGUUUUUGAAUUUUAUUUUUCGAAGUAAUUCCUUUUUAGUCUAUUUUAUGAAGGCAGCAGUCAGUAACAGGUUGAAAACAAAGUAAAGUCCUUCACUGCAUAUUUGAGAAGUGCUGUUCUAGGAUACAGUGUUGUCCUAGAGAAGUCCUUUGUCAGUCCUUGCUAUUUUCACUCAGCCAGUUGCUUCCUUAUUCUUCUUCAUCUGAACAUUGAUUUUAAGAAAGGAGGAUGCCGAGAAGCCACUUGAUCAGGGGAGCCUGUUGCAUCGCAGCGUUUUCAGAGCACCUCCAGGACUGGCCGCACCUGAUGGACGCAGGCGACCGGAGGAAGGUCCAGAGCCCGGAGUGUCCAGAUCUCUAUAAGAAUCAUGAUGUUUCCUAGGCAACACAUGGCUUGGGGAAAUUGGAGAGAAUACUCUCGAUGCAAAAGGAUAACAUCACAGCUACCACAACAAUGCUAUCCAGCACGCAGAUGUCGGGUGUUCAGAGGGACCGAGUCAUCUCGAUUAGAAUCUAAGCGGCCUGAGUUUCACAGUGGAAUAGCCAUGCUCAUGUUCAGUAAAUUUGCAAACCCUCCUAUCGUGCAGUGGAGAAGGGAACAUGCUUGAAACAACGCACGGGACUUGGCUCCUGGGCUCAGCCGGGUGUGGGGAUGAUUGUCAGGGAGCAUUUCGUUACCUUGCCAGGAUGCAGUAGAUGCUUUUGAAUCUCUUUUCUAUUGUACACGUCUAUUGGGAACACAAGUUUCUUUUUCUUUUCCACCCAUAGUUUUAGGAAGCUUUUCAAAUUGCCAGACUGUUUCUCCUGAAAUGACA
Molecule: long non-coding RNA, 898 nt
Filed under: Equus asinus (donkey)
Lineage: Eukaryota; Metazoa; Chordata; Mammalia; Perissodactyla; Equidae
Description: lncRNA (ENSEASG00005026079.1)
Source: RNAcentral